UCUGGGUAAUAAUAGUAAAGUUCUUGAAACCCAAAGAAUUUGGCGGUAUUUUAAUCUUUUUAGAGGAACCUGCCCCUUAAUUGAUAGUCCACGAUGGUGAAUUACCUAUUUUUGUGUUCAGUUUGUAUACCUCCGUCAUCAGGGUAUCUUUUUAGAGUUAAUAUCCUUCUAAUACAGAUUAUUAUAUGUCAGGUCAAGGUGCAACUUAUGAGUAGGUGGUGGUGGGUUACAUUAUAAAUAUAUGCGGAUAAUUAUUUUAUUGAUAAUAUGAAGAUGGAUUUAAAAGUAAAUAUAAAUCCUUGUUAUAUUGACUUUAGCUCUAAAAUAUGCACACAUCGCCCGUCGCUCUUAUUAUAAAAUAAGAUAAGUCGUAACAUAGUAGAGGUACCGGAAGGUGUUUCUAGAAA
This 407-nucleotide ribosomal RNA is filed under the name Dythemis fugax. Its description in RNAcentral is "partial 12S ribosomal RNA". Lineage: Eukaryota; Metazoa; Arthropoda; Insecta; Odonata; Libellulidae. The record is from RNAcentral.